AUAGAGUUUGAUCCUGGCUCAGGAUGAACGCUGGCGGCGUGCCUAAUACAUGCAAGUCGAGCGAACAGAUGAGAAGCUUGCUUCUCUGAUGUUAGCGGCGGACGUGUGAGUAACACGUGGGUAACCUACCUAUAAGACUGGGAUAACUCCGGGAAACCGGGGCUAAUACCGGAUAAUAUUUUGAACCGCAUGGUUCAAUAGUGAAAGACGGUUUCGGCUGUCACUUAUAGAUGGACCCGCGCCGUAUUAGCUAGUUGGUAAGGUAACGGCUUACCAAGGCGACGAUACGUAGCCGACCUGAGAGGGUGAUCGGCCACACUGGAACUGAGACACGGUCCAGACUCCUACGGGAGGCAGCAGUAGGGAAUCUUCCGCAAUGGGCGAAAGCCUGACGGAGCAACGCCGCGUGAGUGAUGAAGGUCUUCGGAUCGUAAAACUCUGUUGUUAGGGAAGAACAAAUUUGUUAGUAACUGAACAAGUCUUGACGGUACCUAACCAGAAAGCCACGGCUAACUACGUGCCAGCAGCCGCGGUAAUACGUAGGUGGCAAGCGUUAUCCGGAAUUAUUGGGCGUAAAGCGCGCGUAGGCGGUUUCUUAAGUCUGAUGUGAAAGCCCACGGCUCAACCGUGGAGGGUCAUUGGAAACUGGGAAACUUGAGUGCAGAAGAGGAGAGUGGAAUUCCAUGUGUAGCGGUGAAAUGCGCAGAGAUAUGGAGGAACACCAGUGGCGAAGGCGGCUCUCUGGUCUGUAACUGACGCUGAGUCAAAGCGAAA
Molecule: ribosomal RNA, 774 nt
Filed under: Mammaliicoccus sciuri
Lineage: Bacteria; Bacillati; Bacillota; Bacilli; Caryophanales; Staphylococcaceae
Description: bacterial SSU rRNA
Rfam family: Bacterial small subunit ribosomal RNA
Source: RNAcentral